AGGGGAUCUUCCCGACCCAGGGAUCAAACGGUCUCCUGCACUGGCAGAUGGAUUCCUUAACAACUGGAAGCCCAACAAAGUGUUUUAAAAAGCAAGCUGGAGAGACAGGAGGUCUCAGAGAGUGCAGUGCCUGGAGGGGUCAUGGUGACUGGUAUCGAGAAAGUCUAGAGAAUGACCACAGAGAGAAAACACAGCCAUCAUCCUCUAUGCCAUGGCUCUUCUGAAGUCUGUGUUCAACGCUGAUGCUUCUCAAGUGACCCUGAAGCUUUUUCUCUCUAAGGUAAAUCAUUCCAGGUCUUUAGCCCUUCUUUGCUGGUCACUGAAUGACUGUUUUGCUUUUCUCUGAACUCUCUCCACAUUCUCUGAAUCCCAUUGAGCGAUGGAGAAUCAGAGCUGGCCCAGCUCCGUUACAGUUCUGAUCUGUGCAGAGCAGUGUAGCAAUUACCUCAUGAUACAGACAUGCUUUUCAUUUGCCACAGUUCUCUGCUUGCAUUUUUUUUUUUUUUCAAUCCACAGAACUGCAGGGUUGUGACAAGUCCUCCCGGUCAGCUGGCUAUCCACUAAAGCUAUACUUUUAAUUUUCCAGCCAACUGCCUUUGAGUGGCUGGCACCUUGCCUUUGAACAUGUUCCCUUUUCAACUCCAAGUGCAUAAUCCUGAAUUUUUUUUUGCUGAACUGCAUCCAGUCUAUGUCCCAUUAUUUCAGUUGAUCAGCAUUGCCUUCUAGGACCACUGUAGCCUGCAGAGAUCUUUCCGUUUGUGACACUUCAGGGUUUGGGUGUUUCGUUGCCUGCUUUGCAUUUUCUGUUGAUCAGUGCAUUAGUCAGAUUACAUUAAAUUAUACUGCUAUAAAAAAAAUCAUCUCCAAAUCUCAAUGACUUAAAACCAGAGUUUUGAGUUCUCUUUUCCACUCAUACUACAUUUCCUACACUGGUCAUCAGAGAGACUCUGACCAUCAGAGUCACUCCAUGGUCCAGGUUGGUCCAUUUUGUUUUGCCACCACCUCAACUCAAGGCUUCUAGGUUUGCUGGGACAGGGUCACAGAGCAUGGAGAAUGGAGGUAUUUGGCAUGUUUAUUCCAUCUAGAAGUGAUACACAUUGCUUAUGCUACCAUUUCUUUGACACAAGCAAGUCAUGUUCUUGUGACUCAUUCCAAGGGCAAUACAUGCCCCAAAGGACAGAAGAACCAGAGAGAAAUCCUGGUACUCACAGAAGGUCUCCCACAGUCAAUGAGAUCGCAGCUUUUCUAAACACCUCAAUCUUGUCCUUUAUUUCUGCAUGUAUGCUCAGUCGCUCAGUUGUGUCUGACUCCUUGCGGCCCCAUGGACUGUAGCCCACAAGGCUCCUUUGUCCAUGGAAUUUUCCAGGCAAGAAUACUGGA
Bubalus bubalis (water buffalo) is the source of this 1380-nucleotide long non-coding RNA. RefSeq lists it as uncharacterized. The transcript has 3 exons. The record is from RefSeq and is a predicted model, not a curated record. NCBI's taxonomy places the organism in Eukaryota, Metazoa, Chordata, Mammalia, Artiodactyla, Bovidae.